GAUGAACGCUAGCUACAGGCUUAACACAUGCAAGUCGAGGGGUAACGAGAGGAAAGCUUGCUUUCCUUGUCGACGACCGGCGCACGGGUGAGUAACGCGUAUCCAACCUGCCCCCAACUAGGGAAUAACCUUGCGAAAGUAAGACUAAUACCCUAUAAUUUCCUCAGAUGUCAUCUGACGAGGAAUAAAGAUUUAUCGGUUGUGGAUGGGGAUGCGUCUGAUUAGCUUGAUGGCGGGGUAACGGCCCACCAAGGCAACGAUCAGUAGGGGGUUCUGAGAGGAAGGGGCCCCACAUUCGAACUGAGACACGGUCCAGACUCCGACGGGAGGCAGCAGUGAGGAAUAUUGGUGCAUGGGCGGAUGCCUGAGCCAUCCACGUAGCGUGCACGAUGACGGCCCUAUGGGUUGUAAACUGCUUUUAUACAGGAAUAAAGUUAGCCACGUGUGGUUAUUUGUAGGUAGUGUAUGAAUAAGGACCGGCUAAGUGCGUGCCAGCAGCCGCAGUAA
RNAcentral lists this ribosomal RNA (507 nucleotides) under uncultured bacterium. Its description in RNAcentral is "partial 16S ribosomal RNA". It matches the Rfam family "Bacterial small subunit ribosomal RNA", at positions 28 to 523 of the family's 1533-position model. The record is from RNAcentral.